RNAcentral lists this ribosomal RNA (634 nucleotides) under uncultured fungus. RNAcentral describes it as "eukaryotic LSU rRNA". It matches the Rfam family "Eukaryotic large subunit ribosomal RNA", at positions 1 to 649 of the family's 3401-position model. Lineage: Eukaryota; Fungi. The record is from RNAcentral.
UUUUAUAGGUUGACCUCGGAUCAGGUAGGGAUACCCGCUGAACUUAAGCAUAUCAAUAAGCGGAGGAAAAGAANNCAACAGGGAUUACCUCAGUAACGGCGAGUGAAGCGGUAACAGCUCAAAUUUGAAAGCUGCCAACAGGCCGCGUUGUAAUUUGUAGAAGAUGCUUUGGGUGUUGGCCUAGUCUAAGUUCCUUGGAACAGGACGUCAUAGAGGGUGAGAAUCCCGUAUGUGAUUGGUGCCAUCCCCCGUGUAAAGCUCUUUCGACGAGUCGAGUUGUUUGGGAAUGCAGCUCAAAAUGGGUGGUAAAUUUCAUCUAAAGCUAAAUAUUGGCCAGAGACCGAUAGCGCACAAGUAGAGUGAUCGAAAGAUGAAAAGCACUUUGGAAAGAGAGUUAAACAGUACGUGAAAUUGUUGAAAGGGAAGCGCUUGCAAUCAGACUUGCGGGCGGUUGAUCAUCCGAGGUUCUCCUCGGUGCACUCGAUCGUCUUCAGGCCAGCAUCGGUUUCCGUGGUGGGUUAAAGGCUGUGAGAAUGUGGCUCUUCGGAGUGUUAUAGCUCACGGUGCAAUGCCACCUACGGGGACCGAGGACCGCGCUUCGGCUAGGAUGCUGGCGUAAUGGUUGUAAGCGACC